RNAcentral lists this unclassified non-coding RNA (346 nucleotides) under soil metagenome. RNAcentral describes it as "partial contains 5.8S ribosomal RNA, internal transcribed spacer 2, and large subunit ribosomal RNA". The stretch from base 1 to 120 matches the Rfam family "5.8S ribosomal RNA", at positions 35 to 154 of the family's 154-position model. The record is from RNAcentral.
GAUGAAGAACGUAGCGAAAUGCGAUAAGUAAUGUGAAUUGCAGAAUUCCGUGAAUCAUCGAGUCUUUGAACGCACAUUGCGCCCCCUGGUAUUCCGGGGGGCAUGCCUGUCCGAGCGUCAUUGCUGCCCUCAAGCACGGCUUGUGUGUUGGGCCCCGUCCUCCGAUCCCGGGGGACGGGCCCGAAAGGCAGCGGCGGCACCGCGUCCGGUCCUCGAGCGUAUGGGGCUUUGUCACCCGCUCCGUAGGCCCGGCCGGCGCUUGCCGAUCAACCCAAAUUUUUAUCCAGGUUGACCUCGGAUCAGGUAGGGAUACCCGCUGAACUUAAGCAUAUCAAUAAGCGGAGGA